CUCCAUACCUUCAGCAGUGGUGGGAAGUGGAGAAACCCGAGCCCCUUCUUCCCUAGACCCUAAAAAGCUUGAAGGCAGGUCAAAGGGAACACCGGAUGACAAGAGACUCACUGGAGUGUUGGACUGUUCAAUGAGUUUGCGCUCCCACAUCUUCAGACGGCGCUCCCGCUCCUUCAGCUCCUGCUCCUUGGUGCUGAGGUCCCUCUCCAACUUCUUCAGCUGCUCAAGAGUGGCUUCAAUCUCGCACCUUCAGCACAACAAACAUCAGCUUUUAGAGAAUUUUUGCAGCAAACAUUUUUAAUCUGCAAAAACAAGAAACUGGGAAGAAGGAAGGGAGCAAGGAAGGGCAGAAGGAUCGACAGCGAUGGAAAGAACAAGGAGACGAUAAAUAACAGAAAGGGAGGAACAAAGAACACAUAGGCAAGAAUGGAGGAGACUAGGAAUAAAGAAAGGACAGAAACAAGGAGAUGGCUGCCUGGACACGGUGCAACCAGCACAACUUCUCAGAUGAAAAACGCAAAAACUCCUCAGCAAACAGACGAGGCCCGCAGAGAGGCAGACAGAGAAUAAAGUGACAGCUGAGACUCAGGCUGUGCUGAACAUCACCAAACAUCCAGCUGCUCAUACAGGCCAAUUAAACACUUCUACUUGAAAAAGAUGGUGAUUAUUUUUAGGGUCUUAUGGGUAAAGAGAGGAAGUAUAUCCAGAUGGAUCAUUCUUUGGGGGUUUUCAU
This is a long non-coding RNA of Poeciliopsis prolifica (blackstripe livebearer), 733 nucleotides long. RefSeq lists it as uncharacterized. NCBI's taxonomy places the organism in Eukaryota, Metazoa, Chordata, Actinopteri, Cyprinodontiformes, Poeciliidae. The record is from RefSeq and is a predicted model, not a curated record. The transcript has 4 exons.